UUUGAGGAAGUUGAAGAAAGUGAAGAAGAGCAAUGGACAAAUCUUGGCCAUCAAUGAGGCAUUCCUACAGAUUUUAUGAUGAGUAUCCAGUCAGAGUCACAUAAAAAUGGAAAGGGGGGUCAGAGCUGCAAAAAGAUGAAAAUGGUUGUCAGAAUCACAGAAAGAUGGAAAUGGGAGAUGCAAAAUCUCAAAUGGGACUUCUAGUAAAGAUGCUAUACUAAUGGAAAGAUCCGGCAGCACAAUUGACGGUAACGAGAUAUUAGCUCCGGUGGAAUGAUUAAAUUAUAUCGUUCCUUAUUUAAGAUUGCCGACGGAUGCUUCUGAGGAGGAAAUCAGAGCGUGCUUAAUUGAUGGCACAGUUUUAUGCAGAAUACUAAAUAGGCUGUGUCCGGUUCAGUUGAAAUGGGAGGGAGUUCAGACCCUGGUUUUGCAAAUGUCAAAAGGUUUCUGGUGGCUGUGGGGGAGUUAGGAUUCCCUCCGUUUGAGCUUUUGGACCUAGAGCAGAAUUGUGCUGGCUGGAUUGACCAGUACCAGUGUGUAAUAUCAGCAUCUGUCGAUCAAUUGAUGGUUUGAGAUCAUUUGCAGGGAUCUUUGGUGCCAGUUAUACGGUGCCUUAGUGCACUCAAAACUUCAUUUGAUUUUGGUUUUUGGGAAGAGAACACAAAAAAUGAAACAAAGCUAGACAGGAGGGGAGUUGUUGGAGUUAGAAUAGUUGAGGAAAAUUUAUCGUAAUCAAUCAUUCAAGAGAUAUGGACAACAGGAUACUCAAAAUACAGAAGGGACACAGGGAAAUUCAAAUGACUCAACUUCUGAAGUGACAGGUAGGAGAUCAUAGACUUGUAUAAACACUAAAUUGACAAAUUGUAUAAGUCAUAUUUACACAUUUAAUCUUAUGUUCAUUCAAGAUCUUUGGUGAUCCUGCAAAUGGUACGAGUCAUAUACAAGCAUCAAUUAUUUACCUUAUUUAGUUUUAGGAGUAAUCUUAUUAGAGAUUUGGGCAAUUUUUCUCAGCUUUGCUAGAAAACCUUAUCGAGAAGAGCAUAUGUAGGAUAGUUAUAUGGUAAGGGGUUUUGCAGUAUUGCCAUGAUGCUGGGUCUGUGCUCAUAUAAUAUACUGCACGUAAGACAUUAUAACUUGUGCAAUACUGCUUAAGUCCCCAAUUGGAGGAAUUCAGGAGUUACUGUGGUAGGUUUCUAAGACGCAAACUGUAUUUCUCUGGGAUAUUGUUGUCAAUACUUGAGUUUAAUACUUUGUAAGGCUAGUCUGAUAUACAGAGUGAAAUGUUGAUGAGUUGGAGCACUUCUUUUCAGUUGGCAUGCCUCAUCAAACUAAUUGGAGAAAUACGUUAU
Long non-coding RNA from Rosa rugosa (rugosa rose), 1349 nucleotides. RefSeq lists it as uncharacterized. NCBI's taxonomy places the organism in Eukaryota, Viridiplantae, Streptophyta, Magnoliopsida, Rosales, Rosaceae. The record is from RefSeq and is a predicted model, not a curated record. The transcript is spliced from 5 exons.